This 402-nucleotide unclassified non-coding RNA is filed under the name soil metagenome. RNAcentral's name for it is "partial contains 5.8S ribosomal RNA, internal transcribed spacer 2, and large subunit ribosomal RNA". The stretch from base 1 to 121 matches the Rfam family "5.8S ribosomal RNA", at positions 35 to 154 of the family's 154-position model. The record is from RNAcentral.
GAUGAAGAACGCAGCGAAAUGCGAUAAGUAAUGUGAAUUGCAGAAUUCAGUGAAUCAUCGAAUCUUUGAUCGCACCUUGCGCCCUUUGGCUAUUCCGAAGGGCAUGCCUGUUUGAGUAUCGUGAACACCUCAACUCUCAUGGUUUGCCAUGAUGAGCUUGGACUUUGGGGGUUUUGCUGGCCUUUGGUCGGCUCCUCUCAAACGGAUCAGCUUUCCAGUGUUUGGUGGCGUCACGGGUGUGAUAACUAUCUACGCCUGUGGUUUUCUGCCAGAUAACCUUCAGCGAUGGAGGUUCGCUGGGGCUCAUAAAUGUCUCUCUUCAGUGGAGACAGCUUUUUGGACGUUUGAUCUCAAAUCAGGUAGGACUACCCGCUGAACUUAAGCAUAUCAAUAAGCGGAGGA